This 478-nucleotide ribosomal RNA is filed under the name uncultured organism. Its description in RNAcentral is "partial 16S ribosomal RNA". It matches the Rfam family "Bacterial small subunit ribosomal RNA", at positions 332 to 801 of the family's 1533-position model. The record is from RNAcentral.
UACACUCCUACGGGAGGCAGCAGUGGGGAAUAUUGCACAAUGGGCGCAAGCCUGAUGCAGCCAUGCCGCGUGUAUGAAGAAGGCCUUCGGGUUGUAAAGUACUUUCAGCGGGGAGGAAGGCAAUACGGUUAAUAACCGUGUUGAUUGACGUUACCCGCAGAAGAAGCACCGGCUAACUCCGUGCCAGCAGCCGCGGUAAUACGGAGGGUGCAAGCGUUAAUCGGAAUUACUGGGCGUAAAGCGCACGCAGGCGGUCUGUCAAGUCGGAUGUGAAAUCCCCGGGCUCAACCUGGGAACUGCAUUCGAAACUGGCAGGCUUGAGUCUUGUAGAGGGGGGUAGAAUUCCAGGUGUAGCGGUGAAAUGCGUAGAGAUCUGGAGGAAUACCGGUGGCGAAGGCGGCCCCCUGGACAAAGACUGACGCUCAGGUGCGAAAGCGUGGGGAGCAAACAGGAUUAGAUACCCCAGUAGUCCCAUGAU